CUACGGAGGGUGCAAGCGUUAAUCGGAAUUACUGGGCGUAAAGCGUACGUAGGCGGUUCGUUAAGUUAGAUGUGAAGGCCCCGGGCUUAACCUGGGAACUGCAUUUAAAACUGGCGAACUAGAGUUGAGUAGAGGGGAGUGGAAUUUCAGGUGUAGCGGUGAAGUGCGUAGAGAUCUGAAGGAACACCAGUGGCGAAGGCGACUCCCUGGACUCGAACUGACGCUGAGGUACGAAAGCGUGGGUAGCAAACGGGAUUAGAAACCCUAGUAGUCC
Molecule: ribosomal RNA, 274 nt
Filed under: uncultured bacterium
Lineage: Bacteria
Description: partial 16S ribosomal RNA
Rfam family: Bacterial small subunit ribosomal RNA
Source: RNAcentral